Molecule: ribosomal RNA, 934 nt
Filed under: uncultured bacterium
Lineage: Bacteria
Description: bacterial SSU rRNA
Rfam family: Bacterial small subunit ribosomal RNA
Source: RNAcentral
UGCAAGUCGAGCGAAUUGCAAGCUGUAGCAAUACAGUUUGCAGUUAGCGGCAGACGGGUGAGUAACACGUAGACAACUUACCUUAUAGAGGGGGAUAGCCCGCCGAAAGGCGGGGUAAUACCGCGUAAGAUACAAGCGAGACAUCUCGCCUGUAUGAAACAUCCGCAAGGAUGGCUAUAUGAGAGGUCUGCGGCCUAUCAGCUAGUUGGUGAGGUAAUGGCUCACCAAGGCUACGACGGGUAUCCGGCCUGAAAGGGUGAUCGGACACACUGACACUGAGACACGGGUCAGACUCCUACGGGAGGCAGCAGUGAGGAAUUUUGGACAAUGGGGGAAACCCUGAUCCAGCGACGCCGCGUGAAGGAUGACGGUCUUCGGAUUGUAAACUUCUUUUAUUUGGGACUAAGAAAUCUGUGGAAACACGGAGAGUGAAUGUACCAGAUGAAUAAGCAACGGCUAACUUCGUGCCAGCAGCCGCGGUAAUACGAAGGUUGCAAGCGUUACUUGGAAUUACUAGGCGUAAAGGGCAGGUAGGUGGUUUGGUAAGUCUAUUGUGAAAGCUCCCGGCUUAACUGGGAGAGGCCAAUGGAUACUACCAAGCUUGAGUAUAGGAGAGGUUACUGGAAUUCCCCGUGUAGCGGUGAAAUGCGCAGAUAUGGGGAGGAACACCAAUGGCGAAAGCAGGUAACUGGACUAUUACUGACACUCAACUGCGAAAGCUAGGGGAGCAAACAGGAUUAGAUACCCUGGUAGUCCUAGCCGUAAACGAUGCACAUUAGACGUGAGGGGUAUCGACCCCCUUCGUGUCGACGCUAACGCAUUAAAUGUGCCGCCUGGGGAGUACGGCCGCAAGGUUGAAACUCAAAGGAAUUGACGGGGGCCCGCACAAGCGGUGGAGCAUGUGGUUUAAUUCGACGCAACGCGAAGAACCUUA